Molecule: ribosomal RNA, 3030 nt
Filed under: Bacillus pumilus
Lineage: Bacteria; Bacillati; Bacillota; Bacilli; Caryophanales; Bacillaceae
Description: 23S ribosomal RNA
Rfam family: Bacterial large subunit ribosomal RNA
Source: RNAcentral
GGUUAAGUUAGAAAGGGCGCACGGUGGAUGCCUUGGCACUAGGAGCCGAUGAAGGACGGGACGAACACCGAUAUGCUUCGGGGAGCUGUAAGCAAGCUUUGAUCCGGAGAUUUCCGAAUGGGGAAACCCACUGCUCGUAAUGGAGUAGUAUCCAUACUUGAAUACAUAGAGUAUGAGAAGGCAUACCCGGGGAACUGAAACAUCUAAGUACCCGGAGGAAGAGAAAGCAAAUGCGAUUCCCUGAGUAGCGGCGAGCGAAACGGGAACAGCCCAAACCAAGAGGCUUGCCUCUUGGGGUUGUAGGACACUCUAUACGGAGUUACAAAGGAACGAUAUAAGCGAAGAGGUCUGGAAAGGCCCGCCAAAGAAGGUAACAGCCCUGUAACUGAAAUGUUGUUCUCUCCAGAGUGGAUCCUGAGUACGGCGGAACACGUGAAAUUCCGUCGGAAUCCGGGAGGACCAUCUCCCAAGGCUAAAUACUCCCUAGUGACCGAUAGUGAACCAGUACCGUGAGGGAAAGGUGAAAAGCACCCCGGAAGGGGAGUGAAAUAGAUCCUGAAACCGUGUGCCUACAAGUAGUCAGAGCCCGUUAAAGGGUGAUGGCGUGCCUUUUGUAGAAUGAACCGGCGAGUUACGAUCCCGUGCAAGGUUAAGCAGAAGAUGCGGAGCCGCAGCGAAAGCGAGUCUGAAUAGGGCGCAUGAGUACGUGGUCGUAGACCCGAAACCAGGUGAUCUACCCAUGUCCAGGGUGAAGUUCAGGUAACACUGAAUGGAGGCCCGAACCCACGCACGUUGAAAAGUGCGGGGAUGAGGUGUGGGUAGGGGUGAAAUGCCAAUCGAACCUGGAGAUAGCUGGUUCUCUCCGAAAUAGCUUUAGGGCUAGCCUCAAGGUAAGAGUCUCGGAGGUAGAGCACUGAUUGGACUAGGGGCCCCUACCGGGUUACCGAAUUCAGUCAAACUCCGAAUGCCGAUGACUUAUCCUUGGGAGUCAGACUGCGAGUGAUAAGAUCCGUAGUCGAAAGGGAAACAGCCCAGACCGCCAGCUAAGGUCCCAAAGUAUACGUUAAGUGGAAAAGGAUGUGGAGUUGCUUAGACAACCAGGAUGUUGGCUUAGAAGCAGCCACCAUUUAAAGAGUGCGUAAUAGCUCACUGGUCGAGUGACUCUGCGCCGAAAAUGUACCGGGGCUAAACGUAUCACCGAAGCUGCGGACUGUUCUCNNNNNNNNNNNNNNNNNNNNNNNNNNNNNNNNNNNNNNNNNNNNNNNNNNNNNNNNNNNNNNNNNNNNNNNNNNNNNNNNNNNNNNNNNNNUGUUCUCCACGAACAGUGGUAGGAGAGCGUUCUAAGUGCUGUGAAGUCAGACCGGAAGGACUGGUGGAGCGCUUAGAAGUGAGAAUGCCGGUAUGAGUAGCGAAAGACGGGUGAGAAUCCCGUCCACCGAAUGCCUAAGGUUUCCUGAGGAAGGCUCGUCCGCUCAGGGUUAGUCGGGACCUAAGCCGAGGCCGAAAGGCGUAGGCGAUGGACAACAGGUUGAUAUUCCUGUACCACCUCCUCACCAUUUGAGCAAUGGGGGGACGCAGGAGGAUAGGGUAAGCGCGGUAUUGGAUAUCCGCGUCCAAGCAGUUAGGCUGGGAAAUAGGCAAAUCCGUUUCCCGUGAAGGCUGAGCUGUGAUGGCGAGCGAAAUUUAGUAGCGAAGUUCCUGAUUCCACACUGCCAAGAAAAGCCUCUAGCGAGGUGAGAGGUGCCCGUACCGCAAACCGACACAGGUAGGCGAGGAGAGAAUCCUAAGGUGAUCGAGAGAACUCUCGUUAAGGAACUCGGCAAAAUGACCCCGUAACUUCGGGAGAAGGGGUGCUUCUUAGGGUGUUAAAGCCCCGAGAAGCCGCAGUGAAUAGGCCCAGGCGACUGUUUAGCAAAAACACAGGUCUCUGCGAAGCCGUAAGGCGAAGUAUAGGGGCUGACGCCUGCCCGGUGCUGGAAGGUUAAGAGGAGCGCUUAGCGUAAGCGAAGGUGCGAAUUGAAGCCCCAGUAAACGGCGGCCGUAACUAUAACGGUCCUAAGGUAGCGAAAUUCCUUGUCGGGUAAGUUCCGACCCGCACGAAAGGCGCAACGAUCUGGGCACUGUCUCAACGAGAGACUCGGUGAAAUUAUAGUACCUGUGAAGAUGCAGGUUACCCGCGACAGGACGGAAAGACCCCGUGGAGCUUUACUGCAGCCUGAUAUUGAAUGUUGGUACAGCUUGUACAGGAUAGGUAGGAGCCUUGGAAACCGGAGCGCUAGCUUCGGUGGAGGCAUCGGUGGGAUACUACCCUGGCUGUAUUGACCUUCUAACCCGCUGCCCUUAUCGGGCAGGGAGACAGUGUCAGGUGGGCAGUUUGACUGGGGCGGUCGCCUCCUAAAAUGUAACGGAGGCGCCCAAAGGUUCCCUCAGAAUGGUUGGAAAUCAUUCGCAGAGUGUAAAGGCACAAGGGAGCUUGACUGCGAGACCUACAAGUCGAGCAGGGACGAAAGUCGGGCUUAGUGAUCCGGUGGUUCCGCAUGGAAGGGCCAUCGCUCAACGGAUAAAAGCUACCCCGGGGAUAACAGGCUUAUCUCCCCCAAGAGUCCACAUCGACGGGGAGGUUUGGCACCUCGAUGUCGGCUCAUCGCAUCCUGGGGCUGUAGUCGGUCCCAAGGGUUGGGCUGUUCGCCCAUUAAAGCGGUACGCGAGCUGGGUUCAGAACGUCGUGAGACAGUUCGGUCCCUAUCCGUCGCGGGCGCAGGAAAUUUGAGAGGAGCUGUCCUUAGUACGAGAGGACCGGGAUGGACGCACCGCUGGUGUACCAGUUGUUCUGCCAAGGGCAUCGCUGGGUAGCUAUGUGCGGACGGGAUAAGUGCUGAAAGCAUCUAAGCAUGAAGCCCCCCUCAAGAUGAGAUUUCCCAUUCCGCAAGGAAGUAAGAUCCCUGAAAGAUGAUCAGGUUGAUAGGUCUGAGGUGGAAGCGUGGUGACACGUGGAGCUGACAGAUACUAAUAGAUCGAGGACUUAACCUA